GUUUUACUAGUGCCUUGGAAAUAAGUUCUACUCACUGAUGGGACAAACUUGUAGAGCACAGGCAGUGUUCAGCAUAGAACACAUAGGAUAAAAGUCAUCCGCUUCAGUUAUUUUUUUUAUGUUCUUUAUGUUCUUUCUGCAAUAGGCUAUAAUGCAGCAAAUGAGGAAGCUUUCAAUGGAAUUACAUUGUUGGAACACUAAUUAUGUAGUAGGUGUGAAUAUAGGCUAUAUAAUACUGCAGACUUCAAAUUCUUUUGCACUAACUUGGAUUGGAAGCAGGGUUUUAAAUAAUAAAAUCAGAAUCAGUUUGGAAAUUGGAAAUAGUGUAACAGAAUCAGGUUGAAUCAGUCAGAAAUGAACUGAAUUGGCCAAUGAUUCUGAGAUUUUUUUUUUCAAACUCUUAGAAGACAUGGUUCUAAAUAACAGAAUUGGAAAUAGUGUAAUUGAAUUGGUCUGAAAUGGUUGGUAUUUAAAACCAUGGUUGGAAGGGGAUUGAGAAAUGUUUUUUAAAGUGUGUGAUUCCUUGGUGCAAGGAAUCUUGAGUGCAAUGAUGUUAGAAAUAUGAUUCAAAAUCCUAAUGGGAUUUGAAGAGAUCUUUUUCUAAUUUGAGUG
Molecule: unclassified non-coding RNA, 612 nt
Filed under: Hevea brasiliensis (rubber tree)
Lineage: Eukaryota; Viridiplantae; Streptophyta; Magnoliopsida; Malpighiales; Euphorbiaceae
Source: RNAcentral